GGUCGCAUCACGUUGAAACAACGGUUCUCGUACGAUCACCGAAGUUAAGCAACGUCGAGCCUGGACAGUAUCUAUAUGGGUGAACGCUUGAGAAAGUCAGAUGCGGU
Molecule: non-coding RNA, 107 nt
Organism: Acanthosepion pharaonis
Lineage: Eukaryota; Metazoa; Mollusca; Cephalopoda; Sepiida; Sepiidae
Source: the annotation of a GenBank genome assembly